ACCCACCCACCUGUCGCUGCCUCGUGCCCUCCACCCCUCCCUCCCUCCCUCUCCUUCCUUCCCUUACCUCGCCUCACCUUCCGCCUACCUUCACCUGCCUGCCGCUGCCCCCUCAGGUGCUCGCGGCCCGGCAGGUGGUGGAAUACAGGUGUUUUAGGCCGAUAAGGAAGGUUCUGUUGGGAUUUAUUGAUGGGGUACCUGUUGAUGUGGCUGUCAGGCGUGUUGCAAGGUGUGUUUCUGGGUGCAAAGGCGUUCAUGUGUUGAGAAGAGUAGCCAGGUGUGUAGGUGAAAAAAUACAGGUGUUUUAAGCCAGAGAGGAAGGUUCUGUUGUGAUUUUUGUGUGAGGUACUUGUUGAUGUGGCUGUCAGGUGUGUUGCAAGUUGUGUUUCUGGGUGCAAAGGCGUUCAUGUGUCGAGAAGGGUAACCAGGUGUGUAGGUGAAUAAAUACAGGUGUUUUAAGCGAGAAAGGAAGGUUCUGUUGUGGUUUUUGUGUGAGGUACUUGUUGAUGGGACUGUCAGGUGUGUUGCAAGGUACUUUAGCGUUUAGGUGUUGAGAAGAGUAGCCAGGUGUAUAAGUGAAAAAUUACAGGUGUUUGAAGCCAGUAAGGAAGGUUCUGUUGUGAUUUAUACAUGAGGUUACCUGUUGAUGUGACUGUCAGGUAUGUUGCAAGGUGUGUUUCGGGUGUGGAGAAGAGUAGUCAGGUAUACAGAUAGCAAAUUACAGGUGUUCUAAGCUAGCAGGGAAGGUUUUGCUGUGAUUUAUAUAUGGCCUUACCUGUGAAUGGACUGCCAGGUGUAUUGCAAGGUGUGUAUCAGGUGUCGAGCAAGAGUAGCCAGAUGUACAGGUGGCCAAUUUACAGGUGUUUAUAGGCAGAUAUGGAAACAGCACCCAAACUCACUUGUAGAAAAAACACAUAAGCUAUUAACUGUGUUGCGUCCAGGUGUAUUUCCAGGCAUCUAGGCGGUCAGGUGUGGAGUCCAGUGACCAGGUGUGUACAGGUGCCCAGGUAACGGGGUGCCGGAGGGGGGAGGGAAGAGGGGGAAGGGGGGCAUGUCAGGUAGCUUAGGGGUGGGAGCGGGUGAUGUUGAGGUUCUUGCUGGCGGAGUUGAAGCCUCCUACCUGUCGCCGGCAUCAUUAGAGAGAGAGAGAGAGAGAGAGAGAGAGAGAGAGAGAGAGAGAGAGAGAGAGAGAGAGAGAGAGAGAGAGAGAGAGAGAGAGAGAGAGAGAGAGAGAGAGAGAGAGAGAGAGAGAGAGUAACGAAGGAAAGAAAAGGAAUGUGAGUAGAAGAAAAAAGAAAAGGAUUAUAGGAUUGCGGAGUGAUCUUUUUGUGACGAGAUUACAGCCAAAGUAAAGUAUAACAUGGCGUAGCAGAUAACAAGGUGACUUAAAUACCACAUCAAAACAUCAGGUAUCGAGGCGGAGGAAAAGAAUAUUGAUUUAAACGAUAAGAAAGUAAAUAAUGGCAGGUGUAUCAAGGUGAAAACAAUGGAACAGGUAACACAGGUGGACAGGUGGAGUCAUUAACAUACCAAAAGACAUAAUCCACAGGUAAUGAAACUAAGAGAAAAUUUAAACUAAUAGGAAACUGAAGUGUAAUGACAGGUGUAACUAAGCAAAGUGUAACAGGUAGCAAGGUGACAAAAAUAAUGAAUCAAAACACACAAUCCACAGGUAAGACUAUCAAGGUGAAACAGGUGAAACAACAACAACAAAAAAAACGAAACGAAAGUAAAAGGACAGGUAUAAAAAGGUUGAAAAAGUGUAAGAAAGUAAAGAUAAGUGUUACAGGCAGACAGGUGACAAUCAUAAUAAAUCAAAACACACACAUUCCACAGGUAACACUAUCAAGGUGAAACGACAAAAAUAACACGAAAAGAAAGUAAAAUGACAGGCGUAAAAAAGGUUAAAAAAGUGUAGGAAAGUAAAGAUAAGUGUUACAGGUAGACAGGUAACAAAAAUGAUAACUCAAAACACACAUUCCACAGGUAACACUAUCAAGGUGAAGCGACAAAAACGCAAAAGAAAGUUAAAUGACAGGUGUAAAAAGGUUAAAAAGGUGUAAGAAUGUGAAGAUAAGUGUAACAGGUAGACAGGUAACACAAAUAAUAACUCAAGACACAUUCCACAGGUAACACUAUCAAGGUGAAGCGAGAAAAACGCAAAAGAAAGUGAAAUGACAAGUGUAAAAAGGUUAAAAAAGUGUAGGAAAGUAAAGAUAAGUGUUACAGGUAGACAGGUGACAAAAAUGAUAACUCAAAACACACAAUCCGCAGGUAACACUAUCAAGGUGAAACGACAAAAACCCAAAAGAAAGUGAAAUGACAAGUGUAAAGCGAUGAAAAAAGUAACAAAGUAAGAAAGAAGUGUAACAGGUAUCCAGGUGACAUCAAUAACAACAAAACACACAAUCCCCAAGUAAAAACAUCAAAGUGAAACGAAAAAAAUACCUCGAAAAGAAAGAAAUGGCAGGUGUGAAAAGUUAAAAAAAAAAGUGUAGCAAUGUAAAAUUAAGUGUAACAGGUAUCCAGGUGACAUCAAUACUAUAUCAAAACACAUCAAAACACACAUUCCACAGGUAACAAUAUUGAGAUAAAACGUAGAAUAACAGGAAAACAGUGUAAAAUGUCAGGUGUAAAACGGUGAAGAAAGUAACAAAGCAAAAAAAAAAAAAAAACAGGUGUAACAGGUAGCCAGGUGACAUCAAUAACAGAUCCAAACACACAUUCCACAGGUAACAAUAUCGAGGCAAAAUAGAAUAAAAAAAAUAACGUAAAAUAAAUCACGACAACUAUGACAGGUAUUUAAAGCCAGGCCAAACAAAAGAACAAAUACCAGGUAACCACGUAACAUCAAGAGCAGCUAAGCACACAUUCCACAGGUAACAGUGUCAAGGGAAAAUAAUAACAAUAACACCAAAAACAAAUUAAGAUGACGUGACAGGUAUUAUAACCAGGUAAAGGAAAAAAAUAAUUACCAGGUAGCCAGGUAACACACAUCCAAACACACACUCCACUGGUAACACUAUCAAUACAAAAUGAAAAUAAAAAUAACACGAGAACAAAGAAAAGUAACGUGACAGGUGUUAUAACCAGGUAAAGGAAAAAAAUAAUUACCAGGUAGCCAGGUAACACACAUCCAAACACACACUCCACUGGUAACACUAUCAAUACAAAAUGAAAAUAAAAAUAACACGAGAACAAAGAAAAGUAACGUGACAGGUGUUAUAACCAGGUAAAGGAAAAAAAUAAUUACCAGGUGGCCAGGUAACACACAUCCAAACACACACUCCACUGGUAACACUAUCAAUACAAAAUGAAAAUAAAAAUAACACGAGAACAAAGAAAAGUAACGUGACAGGUGUUAUAACCAGGUAAAGGAAAAAAAGCACUCACCAGGUACACAGAUGACAUCAAUAUCAGAUCAAAGCACACACGCACACUCAAGGUAACAAAAAACAACACCGACAACACCGUGACACGAUUCACACCACACGUAUUAACCAGAUGACACCAAUCAGACAAAGGUGAGAGUGAUUACAGGUAUCUCAGAGCCAUGACACUCCCACACAGGUGACACACAACCUCCACCUGUACCCCGGGGCAAAGGAACUUACUAAGGCGUACCUGUGAACUCAAGGCACAGGUACAGCAAGCAACAGGUGUGAGAAUGUCAUCAGUCACAUACCUUUGAAUCAGGAGGAGGAGGGAAGGGAAGGAAGGGAGGGAGAGAGAGAGAAAGUGAAGAGGGUGAUGAAGGGAAGGCGAUUAUGUUAUGGUAAUGGGUUAGAAAAGGAAGGGAGGAGGAAGGGAUGGAAGGAAGAGUAAAG
Long non-coding RNA from Eriocheir sinensis (Chinese mitten crab), 3827 nucleotides. RefSeq lists it as uncharacterized. The transcript is spliced from 3 exons. NCBI's taxonomy places the organism in Eukaryota, Metazoa, Arthropoda, Malacostraca, Decapoda, Varunidae. The record is from RefSeq and is a predicted model, not a curated record.